CCUACGGGAGGCAGCAGUGAGGAAUAUUGGUCAAUGGGAGAGAUGCUGAACCAGCCAAGCCGCGUGAGGGAAGACGGCCCUAUGGGUUGUAAACCUCUUUUGUCGGAGAACAAAACCCGGGACGUGUCCCGGACUGCGUGUAUCCGAAGAAAAAGCAUCGGCUAACUCCGUGCCAGCAGGCGCGGUAAAACGGGGUAUGCGAGCGUUAUCCGGAUUUAUUGGGUUAAAAGGGUGGGUAGGUGGGCCGGUAAGUCAGCGGUAAAAUUGCGGGGCGCAACCCCGUCGAGCCGUGGAAACUGGCAGACUUGAGUUGGCGAGAAGUACGCGGAAUGCGCGGUGUCGCGGUGAACUGCAUAGCUAUCGCGCAGAACUCCGAUUGCGAAGGCAGCGUACCGGCGCCAGACUGACGCUGAGGCACGAAAGCGUGGGGAUCGAACAGGAUUAGAUACCCGGGUAGUC
This 459-nucleotide ribosomal RNA is filed under the name uncultured bacterium. Its description in RNAcentral is "partial 16S ribosomal RNA". It matches the Rfam family "Bacterial small subunit ribosomal RNA", at positions 338 to 795 of the family's 1533-position model. The record is from RNAcentral.